RNAcentral lists this ribosomal RNA (246 nucleotides) under uncultured bacterium. RNAcentral describes it as "partial small subunit ribosomal RNA". It matches the Rfam family "Bacterial small subunit ribosomal RNA", at positions 26 to 285 of the family's 1533-position model. The record is from RNAcentral.
AGGACGAACGCUGGCGGCGCGCUUAACACAUGCAAGUCGCACGAGAAAGGGGAGCAAUCCCUGAGUACAGUGGCGCACGGGGUGAGUAACACGUGAAUAAUCUACCUCCGAGUGGGGAAUAACUGAGAGAAAUCUUAGCUAAUACCGCAUAACACUUACGAGUCAAAGCAGCAAUGCGCUUGGAGAGGAGUUCGCGGCCGAUUAGUUAGUUGGCGGGGUAAUGGCCCACCAAGACGAUGAUCGGUA